Long non-coding RNA from Brassica rapa (field mustard), 1073 nucleotides. RefSeq lists it as uncharacterized. The record is from RefSeq and is a predicted model, not a curated record. Lineage: Eukaryota; Viridiplantae; Streptophyta; Magnoliopsida; Brassicales; Brassicaceae.
UUCCGAAAGGACUGAUUCUGUUUGAUUUCGAAACUUCCACCACCGGAAUCGCCGCCAUCUCAGUCGCUUCACCCUCCUCCGUCCCGACCUUCCUCCCCAACGCCUCCUCCGUCCCGAUCAAUCUCUGAAGCUCUUGAUAUCCUCUUCUCAGGGGCACGCGUUGAGCUGAGCACGGACUGGUGAAUUGUGGAGCCGACCUUGCUAUUUUGUUUGUUUGGUGUGGUAGUUAAAUCAAUUAACACAUUGUCUCUACCCACUUGGGCUGUUCAUGUUUCCAGCGUUGUCGAAUGGUUCCUCUCCCUUCUUCCUUGAUUUAAUUGAUUCAACUCUCAUCUUAGAAAAGUUUUGAACUUUUGAUCUAUAGUGAUGCAAGAUAGUAGUUUCUGUUGUGGGUUUCUCGAGUUCUUGAUAUCUGUUCAGAAAGAAAGGGUUAUGAGUCAUGUAAAGGUCUCUCAUGGGAAAUAGUUGACUUUAGAAGAGAGUUUUGUUGAAUCUAAGAAGCAAAUAUGUCUUUGUAAGAAUAUUGAUAUGCAAAAAAAAAAAGAAUAUUGAUAUGCAAACUGUUUGGUAUACUUCUGGUUCAUAUGAGAUUAAAGAUGUGUUGAUUUUGUUUUGAUAGGCAGAGAGAUGUACGUAUGGGGAGAGGAUUCUAGGAUCAAGGUCUGAGUAUUUGCAGAGCAAUGCAAGACUAGGAACAAACUCAAGGUUGUUUUGUUUCCUUUCCUUCACCGGGGACACUUGGCUAGAAUCUCUGAACCAGUUAGAGGUAGGCUCUCAUACAAGCCUCCCAUCUAUGAUAUCAAUGCGCCAGACUUGUACAUUCCCUUUAUGGCAUUUGGUACGUACGUUGUUCUUGCUGGUCUUUCACUGGGACUUAAUGGAAAGUAAGUUCUUUUGACCCUAUGCAUCUCUCUCAGCGUUUUGAGUCUUAGGGGUUCAGUGAUUGAUGGACACUGAAGAUUUUUAACCUGAAUUCAUGUAGGUCUUCUUAUUGGUACUUUGUAGCAGAAGUUUGAACAUUAUUGACAUUGUAUGUGGUAAAGAUUCAUGUUUUAUAAACAAUUUUCAUCUCA